GACCAUCUCUAGCUGCUGAUUAAGCCAUUACUUGAUGCAUUGUAGCUGGGACUCUGAUUUACUAGGAAAAGGAGUAAAACGAAAAAAGAUGUUCUAUUCGAUGGAUGUGCAGUUAUGUACUGCAUUGGUUGUUCUUUGUGGAGGGGACGAGUGCCAGGCACCUUUAUUCAGCCAUAUUGAAGCCCCUCCCAUCCAUUAAUACUAUGCAAGAUGGAAAAUUCUUAAAUGUUUUAAAUGAAGGCUGAAGAGAACCAGUAAAGAAAGAUUUAAAGUAUGAAGGAGCAAUAAUAUGCCCCCACCAAUGUCUUUUCCUACUAAACUCAUCAAAACAAGUCACAGAGAAACAAUGGGCAAAAUGUAUUCACUUUUUAAAAAUCUUCACUUAAUACAUGGUUUUGUUGCAGUGUUCUUUUAUAUAGGAAGUCAAAUUUGUAACUUUUAAAAAUAAAUGAGAUUUUUGUUUAUUUGUUGUCUCGAAAACGUUUACAAAACUCACUGAAAGCAUAAACAAAGAUUUUUUUUGUACAUUUAAAAUAAUUUUAGAAAAACUAUCACAUAUGACUAGGACAUACAUUUACUAUGAAUCACAGCUUAUAUGUACAGCAAAUGUACAAUCCUUUUAAUUUGUCUUCAGUUAAUCU
RNAcentral lists this long non-coding RNA (641 nucleotides) under Homo sapiens (human). RNAcentral's name for it is "HSALNT0150251". Lineage: Eukaryota; Metazoa; Chordata; Mammalia; Primates; Hominidae. The record is from RNAcentral.